UACUUUUGACAAAGACAUAGUAGUUUUCUUCUACGUAGAUACUGUCUUUGGCCGUUGCUACUGUGCCUUGGAGAUGUCGUUGGUCUCCAGUACUAAAUACUGUAGGGGAGCAGUUACAAAGGUUCGUAGUUUCUUCGUCUACGGUGUUGUCUUUGUUGGAUGUUGCUGUUAGUGUCGUUCCACCGAAACACCGGUCUGUAGGGGAGCAGUUACACAAGUUGUUAGUUUCUUCAUUUACGUGCUUAUGUUAGUAAGAUAUUGCUACUAGUGCUAUUACUACUUCAGUAUACACUCUUUCUGUUUUGGUAGUUUCUUCAUCUACCUGGUUCUGUUAGUUAGAUGUUGCUACUAGUGCCAUUACUACUUCAGUAUAAACUUCUUCUAUGUUUACUCCUACUUAUGUACAAGAAACCACUUCUUCUCCUACUCCUUCACCUUUAACUUUAGUUCCUUCUGCUCCUUGAAGUGUUAGGACUAGGCAUACUAAAACAGAUGUCGUUGUAUGGUUUCUUGUGUGUGCAUCUAUGUUGACUGUAAGCUUGUUGACCAUAAAUGUGGAAAGCUCGAGUACCAGUCUAGAUAGUGUUGUAUGUGAGUAAACCAUUAUCAGUGAGUCUAGGUUUCGUAUACCUCGAUAUGAAGAUGCUACUACUAGGUUCGAAUCUCGUAGCCAUGGCGGUGACAGCGCUCCGUUACUUUUAGGGUUUCUUCCUAUGUGUUCUCCUUCUACAACCACGACUUUUAUAGUUAUUACUACUACUAGGUCUACGAUACCGAAAUCAAUCUUUUAUACCUUUCGGCCUACAUAAGGAGUGUUACUGGACGUUGGGGUUGACCCUUCUCUAGUGUGCACUUGAUGUCAAGCCUGUUUGUGGUGUUCUAGCGGGUCUGUAACAUCAAGCACAGAAGUCCCGGUUCGAUCUUCUUUACUUCUUCGUUGAUAAACUCUUCCGGUAAGAACCUUUCCAAGUCCGUAUAUGUAUACAGCAUCUCAAGGUUUUCUCCCCUGAUGGGGCACGAGUGAAAAACGAGUAGUACUGGCCCUUUAUGUUUAUGUGUACAGGCCUUGUCAUACUGUCUUAAUAGAGGCGACUCGAGGGACUGUUCGUGUUCAUGGGCCUCGAUGUGUUUUACCAUCAGUUUGUAUACUACGUAACAGGAACGCCACGUAACUUAUUUAAAACAGGUACGUGUUUCUUAGCAGGCAGUACGUUCUUAUUAAUAGGUUCCGGUAAAUUGCUUUGAUGCUAAGUUCCGUUCCUGAGGAUGGGUGAAAUAUCCUCUGCGUUACUACCAGGCUGACUUUACCAGGCGUUAACGGUUGAUCUAUUAUCCACCCAACAAGGAAUGUUGGGGAUAGACAAUUCCUACAAGUUGACGGUGUAUUUAUAACUCUAUACGAGUUCGUAAUUUCGGCAAUUCAUGGAGAAGUUCAUGUAGAUGUUCCCAGUACUGGCUCGUAGACACAGUCAUUGACUGUUUCACCUGCUUCAGCUUUAGCUGCUCUAAUUUGUUAUGUCUCUGCGUGCCACCCACUGCGGAGGCCUUCGUGACACCUCUUAUAUACCGAAACUUGAUUCGUUUUACGUGGGUGGACAGAACGUUGACGUCGAUGUAGAGGGUUUAUACGUGUACCAAAGUAUAGUACCAUACCUUUUUUAUUUCUUACAAUAGUUGGCACUACCGUGUCUUUCUAGUUAUAACUGUCGCAUGAAACUUCGUUUGUCGAAUAUACUCUUUCGUGCUCCGUAUGAUAUGUUUCUGAAAGGUGUUAUAAUAUGAACCGUUUCUGCUCCCUUCAAAACCGUUCUCUCCUUCGCUCGGCGACACAAGGUCCAACCGUCCUAGCAGAGUCGUGUGGACCGACUUCCUCUUGCUAUGAUAGAAGCUCAAGAGGAUUUGGUGCACUGUCCGCGGUGGUCGAUGCUUCUGGAUGCUUGUCAGCUACCUGUUCAUUACGGUUGGAAGGCACUUCGACGUCUUUUUGCCCCCGAGUAACUCCGUCUGUUGUGUGAUCUACUAACGUACUGUCUUCGACUCAACAAAGCCUACGGUAGUAGCGAGUCUUCCGUUACAGUCUUCUGAUGUCGUCUUUGACGUUUACGUUCGUGUGCCAGUUUGUCUACCAAGCCUUUUUAUAGUCUGUACAACGUGAGUUACCCCUUUCUGUAUCUUAGCAAAGGAGAAGGUCUAUAGCUGUUUGUCGUACUCUGCUGUCUGCUGUAUGGAUCCCUCUAGUAACUCCUCUGGAGGUAGCUCCACCUGGGACUCCUGCGUAGCAACGUAUUUUUGGAGUUGUUGCUCGUCUCCUUCCGGAUGCUGCUUUAGGAUCGGUGCCAACUGGCGGUUUCUCCUCCAUAUAAGAAACAGCUACCCGGCCCUCCGUGUCCUUUUUGAAAAGAAAUGUCCCGCGAAAACCGGUGUCACGCGCCUGUUCCGUUCUAACGACACCGCUGCCGGUGAAGGCCACAACGACGAAGGUAUUACGGACCUCCCUCUUGGCGUGUGAGCUCCAAAUUCUAAGGUGAUUUUUAUCUGUUACCUCGAUAAACAUCCAAGUGUUUUGUUUCACCCUGUCCUUUCGAUGAGGUUCGUCGUAGUGAUUAUGAGACCCUACUUCGUAGAUACUGAUUCUCCGUCUGUCACCUCCGCAAUCUGUUUUCGUACGCCCUGUAUUGCCUGUCUGGUCUAGAAGUUAAACCACCUUUUUGAUAACAUAAACCCCCUCUAAAAUCUGUUCACGAUGGAUAACAGGCCUUCCCUUGGUCUCGGGUUUAUCAUCUACGUAGUGACGCGUCCAGUCUCGAGACCUUAACGUACGCAGUUAACUUCGAACAUGCGUUGUACUCCCGAGUUUUGCUGAGAACCAAGCGUCUUAUGGAUGAUGCGUAACCCUUGCCUUGGCUCCUCUGUUUACUACUACCACUUUAUGAUGAUGGAUGUUCGUAUACACACGGUUUAUUCUGCCUACUAUUACCGGAGCUAUCUGAGUAGUUGUCAUAGAUGGUUUGUCCGUUACGAAGUGAUUUUCUAGGUUUCAUGUAGUAUAGUUCUCGUUAAAAUAGGUGUUCCUUGCUAACGCAUCUGUUUUAGUUGGAUUUUUACUAACUAGCGAAGGUCCCCCUCCUCUACCACAUGGUGUCGAAACUAAGACAUCUUCUGCUGGGUGUAUUGAUGAUAGGUGGUCUUAAGGAUUUGUGGGAUUGGGGUUUACCUGACGGAGGCGUAUACAACUUCGAGUUUUAAUUAACAGGUUAGUAUGAUGAGUCCUUGUAGCUGGGACGAUUACCUGAGACGUUACCGUGCUCCAACCAGCAUGCACCAAAAGUUUUUUUAUGUUAACUACGUCUCUAACACUCGUUGGCGCUGUAGUUUGUAUUUCAGAGUUUUUCUGGGCACCGGAAGUGACGACAUCGUUAUGUUUGUCGUCGUGGUUGUGGUUAGUGUCCACCUAGUUGAGGUUGACGUCGACGAUCCCUAGAACCACGUGUCCAACUUGUGCCACCGUUCCCUUGGUCUGCUGUUCCCGUAUAACCAUGAUUCAAGCAACGACGUCACGUCAUGUACCUUUCUCUCCUGUCCCCGCUCUCACCCCCACCUGGAGGUACCGUGGUCGUCGUCAUGCAGCCUCCUCGAGCCUCGUCACCUCGGCAGAGGAGCGGGGAGCGUCCCGGAGCAGCCGCCGCUCGUCCUGGUGCGGCACCUUGUUAGACGUAGGUUGAGGAGGAGAUGGCCGGUCCUCGGGCGACGUAGGCGCGCUCCUUCGCGACACCUCCCGUGCUGCCAUGUCGGUGUAGGAAGCACGGGAGUAGGAGGCUCUUGCUGCUCUUCUGCCCUCCGCCGCCGCGGCGGCGAACCGGUCGUGGUCCUCUCUUUUACCCCUUGCCCUUCUCUAUAGCUCAAGGAAGCAUAGUGUAUCCCGGUCUUUUAAACGCAACCCGGUGCCCGGCGGCGGAUGGGCCGAGGUCGGCUUGCGCGCGGCCGGCGAGACCGUGCCGCCGCCAGGCGUUAGGAGAUUAAGUAGAAUAGGUUUGAGGAAGGAAAGGUCGCUGCCGCCUCGUGCCCGUCCACUGCCCGCCGCGGGAACAGCAGCCUGCCGAUGUUGGCGCCACCUCCUCUUCCGUCUGCAGCACCCACGCACGAACCCAUUCCCUCCGGUGGGAACGACACGAGCACCCGCAAGUACCUCCUACCUUCCCCCCUGUCGAAGGACACCCACGCGGCCGACACGAGCACCCGCAAGUACCUCCUACCUUCCACCCUGUCGUAGGACACCAUUCCCAGGAGCCGGCCUUAGAGGUAGUCCAGCACGGGACCCUGGUAUUAGAGGUAGUAGGGCAGCUUUAACGUUAAAAACUGGUUUGCAGGUUACAGUGGCGGUUCAAGCGGCCUCCUUUUUCGCGGCUCAAGCGGCCUCCUUGUUCUUGUAGGCAGCUCGGCACGUUACAGAGGAUACCUCCGAUGUGCUCUCUUACCCUACGCGGCAGCGGCGGCGGUCGUGCCAGGGUUGUCGACGGCGCUCAGAGGUGCUAGCUGCAGCGGCAGGCAGACACGGGGCUCGAGCUGCCAAGAGGCCGACUGUUCGUAAGCAAGUACAGGGGCGGUCACAAUCCGCAACGAGCGGUGGCGGGGUCUAGCGAAAGCACGCAGUAGCGGCGGGGUUCGAGGUACUCGAUU
Molecule: ribosomal RNA, 4677 nt
Filed under: Triticum aestivum (bread wheat)
Lineage: Eukaryota; Viridiplantae; Streptophyta; Magnoliopsida; Poales; Poaceae
Description: partial small subunit ribosomal RNA
Source: RNAcentral